This 21-nucleotide non-coding RNA is filed under the name Caenorhabditis elegans. Lineage: Eukaryota; Metazoa; Nematoda; Chromadorea; Rhabditida; Rhabditidae. The record is from RNAcentral.
UGAAUAUUGGGCAAACACUCA